This 406-nucleotide ribosomal RNA is filed under the name uncultured archaeon. Its description in RNAcentral is "bacterial SSU rRNA". It matches the Rfam family "Archaeal small subunit ribosomal RNA", at positions 6 to 397 of the family's 1478-position model. The record is from RNAcentral.
GGUUGAUCCUGCCGGAGGCCGCUGCUAUCCGGCUGGGACUAAGCCAUGCUAGUCUAGGGGCUUGUACUCCUUCGGGGGUGCAAGCACCGGCGGACGGCUCAGUAACACGUGGACAACCUGCCCUCGGGUGGGGGAUAACCCCGGGAAACUGGGGCUAAUCCCCCAUAGGUGAUGGGUGCUGGAAUGCCCCAUCUCCGAAAGCGCUUAGCGCCCGAGGAUGGGUCUGCGGCGGAUUAGGUAGUUGGUGGGGUAACGGCCCACCAAGCCUAAGAUCCGUACGGGCUGUGGGAGCAGGAGCCCGGAGAUGGACCCUGAGACAAGGGUCCAGGCCCUACGGGGCGCAGCAGGCGCGAAACCUCCGCAAUGCGGGAAACCGCGACGGGGUUAGCCGGAGUGCCCGUGAAUU